This 503-nucleotide ribosomal RNA is filed under the name uncultured bacterium. RNAcentral's name for it is "bacterial SSU rRNA". It matches the Rfam family "Bacterial small subunit ribosomal RNA", at positions 337 to 857 of the family's 1533-position model. The record is from RNAcentral.
UCCUACGGGAGGCAACAGUGGGGAAUUUUGGACAAUGGGGGCAAGCCUGAUCUAGCCAUGCCGCGUGUGUGAUGAAGGCCUUAGGGUUGUAAAGCUCUUUCACCAGGGAAGAUAAUGACAGUCCCUGGUAAAGAAACCCCGGCUAACUCCGUGCCAGCAGUCGCGGUAAUACGGAGGGGGUUAGCGUUUUUCGGAAUUACUGGGCGUAAAGCGCACGUAGGCGGAUUGGAAAGUAAGGGGUGAAAUCCCAGGGCUCAACCCUGGAACUGCCUUAUAAACUAUCAGUUUAGAGUUCGAGAGAGGUGAGUGGAAUUCCGAGUGUAGAGGUGAAAUUCGUAGAUAUUUGGAGGAACACCAGUGGCGAAGGCGGCUCACUGGCUCCGAUACUGACGCUGAGGUGCGAAAGAGGGGGGAGCAAACAGGAUUAGAUCCCCUGGUAGUCCCUUUCCCUUUCUAUGAAUGCCAGACGUCGGGGGGCAUCCCCUUCGGUGUCACACCUAACG